UUGUCAUUUGGUCUCUUUUUACAUCCAGAAGCGGCUCACUAGUUUAGAUUGUCACUUGCCAUCACCAUACAGAAGUUUGCCUAAGCAUAGAAUGAAGGAGAUCAAUGAAUGUCUGAAAACAAUAGGAUGUUAUCCAAUCCUUGGUUCCUGUUUUACAUAAGAAAGAUAUUUCCUGACAAAUGCAGUCAGAAGGAGAGGCUUUCCAGUUACUGUACCCAAGAAGAUGAUAACAGAGAUUAAUAGCACUGAAGAUAUUAAACACUUAUGGGUGGUAGCAAAGAGCAAGCAGCACAAUUAUGCUGAGUAGAAGCAAUGGUGUGCUUGGUCAACAUUGUCAAGAGAUGGUGAAACUGAAGAAGAAUGAAAACUGAAAAAAGGCAACAGAAUUUAGCAGAAAGUCCUUUGAGCAUGACAAGGUGCUUCCCAGACUCUGAAGACCUCCAGUGAUGGUGAGAAGUCAGGAUUGCAGACACAGAUGCUGAAGGUCAUUUGGAUUUGGCAGGUACUACACAGAGUGAUCUCAAUUCUCUGUCACAGACCCCCAGAGAUCACAGAGAGCACUUUUCUUCCUUCUGAUCAAUCCUAAGGUAACCCCAACAUAGAGUUCAAGAAC
Molecule: long non-coding RNA, 613 nt
Organism: Sarcophilus harrisii (Tasmanian devil)
Lineage: Eukaryota; Metazoa; Chordata; Mammalia; Dasyuromorphia; Dasyuridae
Exons: 4
Source: RefSeq, a predicted model, not a curated record